UUGUAUGUAGUUUGUCAUCCGUUGAUUCAACGUUUUAUAACUGAUACUGGUAGAAUUUAGUGCGUUUUUCUUUCGUAUUUUAACAUAAAAUACGCAUUCUUUGAAUUUGUCAAAGAGGAAUCAUAGGAGGGUGGUGAAACGCGCUGUAUUAUGCGAGAAGAAUCAGAAGAUAUGGAUAAUUUUGUGAAUGCCUGAAAGGUGACUAGGAUCGUGAGAAAGAAAGGCCAUGGCAAUGAGAAAUUUCUAAAGUUAAGAAAAUAAUCAAAAGUUCAUUGACCCAUUUACAACAACAUGUGUAGCUAAAGUAUUGGAAUUCAGUGAUUUCCUUUUGUCCAAGCAUCACACUAACCAAAGGUCAAAUGGAGCUCUAUUAAAGCAAUAUUAAAUGUGAAAGGUUUUGUUUAUGCAGUGCCGUGGAUGCAAGAACAACUUUGCUCUCAUUCCAUCACUGGAAAGGCUUUAAAUGCCUAGCUUAAUUCAAAGAGAAGGAUGCAAAACCAGAGCCAGAGAAAGUUAAGAGUAUAUAUGCUGUGUCUAAAGUAUGGUGCAAAAAGGUUUGAGGGAAAAAAGGCAGACAUAUGACAAGUUAUGGCACCAAAGAUUAAUAAUAUUGUGCAAGUUGAGAAAACCAAGUUGAAAGCAUGUGGACAUCAGUAACUAUAUGACAUUCCAUUUUCUACUAUUUACAUGUUCUGUACAUGUAAAUAUAUUUAGUAUAAUAGCCUAGUUAUAUUUUUGCUAUUUUCUUGCACAGUCAUUUUAUUUGGUGGGAAAACUGCAGUAUGGUAA
Molecule: long non-coding RNA, 789 nt
Filed under: Dendronephthya gigantea
Lineage: Eukaryota; Metazoa; Cnidaria; Anthozoa; Malacalcyonacea; Nephtheidae
Description: uncharacterized LOC114515637
Source: RNAcentral